RNAcentral lists this long non-coding RNA (225 nucleotides) under Setaria italica (foxtail millet). RNAcentral's name for it is "long non-coding RNA (SITA_LNC003070)". Lineage: Eukaryota; Viridiplantae; Streptophyta; Magnoliopsida; Poales; Poaceae. The record is from RNAcentral.
CGAGCUGCCAGCGCCUGGCGCCGGCCGGAGUAUUAAAUGCUCGCAUGUGGGCGGCCACGCGACCGCGACUUGUGCUACGUCGCCGUUGGAGCGUUGCGCGAAGCCGGGCGGUUCCGGACAUCCGGUUGCUUGCCGCGGCAGGGAGCAUGUACGCGUGCCGCCGAUCGAGCGUGGGGACGAACGACGGUGGCACACCUGGAGUGGCAGUGCAGAGACGUGCAUUGG